This 497-nucleotide ribosomal RNA is filed under the name uncultured bacterium. RNAcentral's name for it is "partial 16S ribosomal RNA". It matches the Rfam family "Bacterial small subunit ribosomal RNA", at positions 28 to 507 of the family's 1533-position model. The record is from RNAcentral.
GAUGAACGCUGGCGGCGUGCCUAAUACAUGCAAGUCGAGCGAACUGACGAGGAGCUUGCUCCUCUGACGUUAGCGGCGGACGGGUGAGUAACACGUGGAUAACCUACCUAUAAGACUGGGAUAACUUCGGGAAACCGGAGCUAAUACCGGAUAAUAUAUUGAACCGCAUGGUUCAAUAGUGAAAGACGGUUUUGCUGUCACUUAUAGAUGGAUCCGCGCCGCAUUAGCUAGUUGGUAAGGUAACGGCUUACCAAGGCAACGAUGCGUAGCUGACCUGAGAGGGUGAUCGGCCACACUGGAACUGAGACACGGUCCAGACUCCUACGGGAGGCAGCAGUAGGGAAUCUUCCGCAAUGGGCGAAAGCUUGACGGAGCAACGCCGCGUGAGUGAUGAAGGUCUUCGGAUCGUAAAACUCUGUUAUUGGGGAAGAACAAAUGUGUAAGUAACUAUGCACGUCUUGACGGUACCUAAUCAGUAAGCCACGGCUAACUACGUG